This is a long non-coding RNA of Prionailurus viverrinus (fishing cat), 328 nucleotides long. RefSeq lists it as uncharacterized. The record is from RefSeq and is a predicted model, not a curated record. NCBI's taxonomy places the organism in Eukaryota, Metazoa, Chordata, Mammalia, Carnivora, Felidae. The transcript is spliced from 3 exons.
CUGCUGGUGAAGGUGAGGAUUUCCACGUGGAAACAUUCUGAUGAAAUUCACAUAUGCAGAGGUCAAGUUCAAGAGUAGGAUCUGGUUCUAGUGUCAGAAGAAGCAACUGAAUGAGACCUCUGAGAGCCCUCAGGAGCAAACAAGCAAAAGUACCCACUGAGCCCCUGGAACUCACUUCCUUCUUUCUUGCUGCCACUAGUGGUUGUAGUCCUUGUUUCUGAUCUGCGCCAACCAGAUUCAAACAUAGAACCUCUCUGAGUUCCACCAAAGGAAUCCAUUCACGCAAAAGCUUUUCACACUAUCUGGAUUUCACUGAGAAUUUGGCAAG